CAUUGUGGUGGUAGUCAGUCAUUAGUCGCACUGGUAGUCUUGGUCAUGGUGUGGUAGUAUUAUUUGUUCCCUGCAGAAAGAACCAAAUCCCCUUUUCGAACAGCUGCAAAUCAUGUCUUACUGGGUUUGCAGGAGACAUGCCUGACUUGCUGGGAAUCUGGAAGAUCAAGAUAUAUCAAGAAACUCUGCAUUCUGGACAGCCAGCUAAGAGGACAAAAGGUAAGCGGCACCAGCAAUCAAUAUCUUAAUCCAACUAUGGACCAAGGACAGCUGUGGGGGUCUGUGUUCAACAACCCGCGGCGGUGCUAGGACGAAAGGUUUGUGAUCUCUUUGGUUCAUCAGGAAGGAAGAAGCAAUCAAUACAUGACCAUUCACACACCAACACCCUGGUGAACACAGAACAGAUGUUUGCCGAAAUAGACACAACAUGGCGCAAUGAAG
Long non-coding RNA from Hyla sarda, 441 nucleotides. RefSeq lists it as uncharacterized. The record is from RefSeq and is a predicted model, not a curated record. Lineage: Eukaryota; Metazoa; Chordata; Amphibia; Anura; Hylidae. The transcript has 4 exons.